This 617-nucleotide long non-coding RNA is filed under the name Cottoperca gobio. RNAcentral describes it as "lncRNA (ENSCGOG00000011078.1)". The record is from RNAcentral. Lineage: Eukaryota; Metazoa; Chordata; Actinopteri; Perciformes; Bovichtidae.
CGCCGCUUGGCGUUAUGGGAGCGCAGAGAGGAUGUGUUCGUGACUACGUCGAAAUCCGGACCAAGAUUGUGCAGGGCCCAAAUAUCUAUCGAGACCAAAGAGGCAGCCGUCAUGGGAGUUCUCUUCAUACUAAGUGGAAUUAAUGAAGCCGCUGCCAAAGAAACUGAAGGACCUCCUCUUGAUGGAACACUUUCCUCUAUAGUCUGAAUCAAAUGAUAGCCUUCACGUCCUCGUAGAGCAUAUCGUCAGUGCUGAGAGGAGCCGUGCAGUUAAAGACUUUCAAAGGCUGAACCGGGCACGCUGCCAAGCAUCUAUUGUUCCUGUCCUGGGCCUCUUGGUUUAAGCUCUCCCACCAGCACUGGGAGGACAGGAUUCACAUGGGUACUUGUUAAAAGUUUUUGUCAGAAUUAAUUCUCUCGGAAAUGUCAGCGAAGAACAGGGAGUUUUCUUUCACACCUUGUGGCUUCCUACCCUAAUUUGCCUUUCUGCUAUGAUACACCAGCAGCUUCAUACUAUUGUAUGGCAAGGAAUAAAAAUAUUUUUUUCCCUGAGUCAUUUUCAAUUCUCUUUCUGUGCUCGUUCAUUUUGAUUCCAUAAAUUCCCAAAUUGGAAGCCCC